UCCAUCAGCUGAUGACUUUCUUAGUGAGGAAUCUCUAAACCCCAUUCCAACACAUUACAAAAUCCACCUUUUGUUCUUUGCAAAGCUGAAAUUCUGGUAGCAAGUAACAGGUAAGAGUUCCUGGCAAAAAAAGAAGAAAGAGGGUGCUGUCUCUGACAUGGCCAGUGCUUACAAACUUUUUGAUCGCGACAUGUUUCCAACCCUGAGCUCGGUAUUUCAAGCAGUUCUUACAAUACCUGUCAGCAGUUCCAGCUGUGAGCGGUCAUUUAGUGCAUUUCUGUCAUCUACAUACAUGGCUUAGGUGAACAAUGGGCCAGACGAGACUCAAUCAUUUGGCUUUCUAUCAAUUGAAAAAGUAAAACAAUCUUGAAGUAGCAGUGUUUGGAGUGUGUGUCGAGUCGUGUUCUCGUGACAGUGACGGUCCAAAUGAUGCGAAGUGCUGCAGCAAUGGAUGUGGACAUCACUGUAUGGCUUUAUCUAAGAUGUGAUACUAAUGCAUUGGCCUGCUUUUCUUCCAUUACAGUGACCUUGGAUAAGGUGUGUGCCAAUCAAAGUGACUGUCUAGGUUUGAUGUGCUGCAGAAAUAUAUGUACACGUGAAUGUACACCUCUAUUUGACUGGUCCUGAUCCAUAACUGACUGAAGUGCUGAGAUCUCAUCCAUGAUGAUCAAUGUCCCGCCAGACAGAAGAGCUGCCCAACCACCUGUGACCAUGUAGCAGCUAACCAUGUCAAUUUAGCCAUCAGGAAUAAGUCUACGAUUUGGUGGUUGUGCUUUCUUUUUUCUUUUCUUUUUUUCCUCCAUGCUAUACAGAGUUGUUAACUGUAAAUGUCUUUUACAUUCAUAAAGAUCUGAGUUUAGUAAAACUUCUGUGUGUAUGUGGUUGGGGUGUGUGGCAUGGAUGUAUCUAAUGCAAAUGAAAGGCAGUCUCCAGUUGACUGGCAGAGAUGAUAAAAGGUGAUUGUGAUGCCAAUAAUACCCUGUGUGAGAGUGCUUUCACUGAAUUUAAUGGGACUAUAGUUGAGGAAAUAAUGGGUAAAAUGGGAUUAGUUUGUCGUAUCAAUGGUAGCAGUACAAGACUGGAUGUAGUGGAUAAUUGUAACUGCUGUAUUUUUCAGUUUUCUUGGUUUUUAUUUUGUGUUUAUGUAACUCAUGUAUUAUUGCAAAUCAGUUUUUACCAUGAAGAUUAGAUGCUGACAUGCCAAUAACAAUAAAGGACUACUACUACUGGA
Carassius gibelio (silver crucian carp) is the source of this 1231-nucleotide long non-coding RNA. RefSeq lists it as uncharacterized. Lineage: Eukaryota; Metazoa; Chordata; Actinopteri; Cypriniformes; Cyprinidae. The transcript has 2 exons. The record is from RefSeq and is a predicted model, not a curated record.